RNAcentral lists this ribosomal RNA (501 nucleotides) under uncultured bacterium. RNAcentral describes it as "partial 16S ribosomal RNA". It matches the Rfam family "Bacterial small subunit ribosomal RNA", at positions 29 to 523 of the family's 1533-position model. The record is from RNAcentral.
AUUGAACGCUGGCGGCAUGCCUUACACAUGCAAGUCGAACGGCAGCACGGGUGCUUGCACCUGGUGGCGAGUGGCGAACGGGUGAGUAAUACAUCGGAACGUACCUUAUCGUGGGGGAUAACGCAGCGAAAGCUGUGCUAAUACCGCAUACGCCCUGAGGGGGAAAGCGGGGGAUCGCAAGACCUCGCGCGAUUAGAGCGGCCGAUGCCUGAUUAGCUUGUUGGUGGGGUAAAAGCCCACCAAGGCGACGAUCAGUAGCUGGUCUGGGAGGACGAUCAGCCACCAGGGGGUGGGGAGACGGCCCAGACUCGUACGGGAGGGAGCAGUGGGGAAUUUUGGAUAAUGGGGUCAACCCGGUUCCCGCAAGGCGGCGUGGGUGAAGAGGGCCUUCGGGUUGUAAAGCUCUUUUGUCAGGGAAGAAACACCGGCUCUAACACAGUCCGGGAAUGACGGUACCUGAAGAAUAAGCACCGGCUAACUACGUGCCAGCAGCCGCCGUAA